CCUUAUCAAGAGCGGCGGAGGGACUAGGCCCUGCGAUGCCCGGCAACCUGUUUCGCGCCUCGUGCGCGGCGUAAGGUGCUACAUCCUACAGAGAGUGAUCGCUUUCUGAAAGAUGAGG
RNAcentral lists this non-coding RNA (118 nucleotides) under uncultured Eubacterium sp. RNAcentral describes it as "SAM riboswitch (S box leader)". It matches the Rfam family "SAM riboswitch aptamer (S box leader)". From Rfam's summary of the family: The SAM riboswitch is found upstream of a number of genes which code for proteins involved in methionine or cysteine biosynthesis in Gram-positive bacteria. The SAM riboswitch acts at the level of transcription termination control. Lineage: Bacteria; Bacillati; Bacillota; Clostridia; Eubacteriales; Eubacteriaceae. The record is from RNAcentral.